RNAcentral lists this transfer RNA (72 nucleotides) under Ictidomys tridecemlineatus (thirteen-lined ground squirrel). RNAcentral's name for it is "Spermophilus tridecemlineatus (thirteen-lined ground squirrel) tRNA". It matches the Rfam family "tRNA". From Rfam's summary of the family: Transfer RNA (tRNA) molecules are approximately 80 nucleotides in length. The record is from Rfam by way of RNAcentral. Lineage: Eukaryota; Metazoa; Chordata; Mammalia; Rodentia; Sciuridae.
UGGGGUGUAGCUCAGUGGUAGAGCACUUGCCUAGCAUGUACAAGGCCCUAGAUUCUAUCUCUAGAACCACAA